Molecule: ribosomal RNA, 271 nt
Filed under: uncultured archaeon
Lineage: Archaea
Description: partial 16S ribosomal RNA
Rfam family: Archaeal small subunit ribosomal RNA
Source: RNAcentral
CAGCGCCACGAGUGGCAACCGCGUUUAUUGGGCCUAAAGCGUCCGUAGCCGGUUCGGUAAAUCUUUUGUGAAAUUGUGCAGCUCAACUGUACAACGUGCAAGAGACACUAUCAAACUCGAGAUCGGGAGGAGUCAGAAGUAUUCCAGGGGGAGCGGUAAAAUGUUAUAAUCCCUGGAGGACUACCUAUGGCGAAGGCAUCUGACCAGAACGAAUCUGACUGUGAGGGACGAAAGCCAGGGGAGCGAACCGGAUUAGAUACCCGAGUAGUCC